UACGAAGGGGGCUAGCGUUGCUCGGAAUCACUGGGCGUAAAGGGUGCGUAGGCGGGUCUUUAAGUCAGGGGUGAAAUCCUGGAGCUCAACUCCAGAACUGCCUUUGAUACUGAGGAUCUUGAGUUCGGGAGAGGUGAGUGGAACUGCGAGUGUAGAGGUGAAAUUCGUAGAUAUUCGCAAGAACACCGGUGGCGAAGGCGGCCAACUGGACUGGUAUUGACGCUGAGGCGCGAAAGCGUGGGGAGCAAACAGG
RNAcentral lists this ribosomal RNA (253 nucleotides) under uncultured bacterium. Its description in RNAcentral is "partial 16S ribosomal RNA". It matches the Rfam family "Bacterial small subunit ribosomal RNA", at positions 524 to 776 of the family's 1533-position model. The record is from RNAcentral.